GCCCCCGUAGCUUAAAUGGAUAAAGCAGUGGUUUCCUAAACCGCGCAUCCCGGUUCAAUUCCGGGCGGGGGUACCA
This 76-nucleotide transfer RNA is filed under the name Verrucomicrobiota bacterium. RNAcentral's name for it is "Verrucomicrobia bacterium (soil metagenome) tRNA-Arg". It matches the Rfam family "tRNA". Rfam says of the family: Transfer RNA (tRNA) molecules are approximately 80 nucleotides in length. Their secondary structure includes four short double-helical elements and three loops (D, anti-codon, and T loops). The record is from RNAcentral. Lineage: Bacteria; Pseudomonadati; Verrucomicrobiota.